Molecule: ribosomal RNA, 253 nt
Filed under: uncultured bacterium
Lineage: Bacteria
Description: partial 16S ribosomal RNA
Rfam family: Bacterial small subunit ribosomal RNA
Source: RNAcentral
UACGUAGGGUGCAAGCGUUGUCCGGAUUUAUUGGGCGUAACGAGCUUGUAGGCGGUCUGACACGUCUGCUGUGAAAACUCGAGGCUCAACCUCGAGACGCCGGUGGAAACCGUCUGGCUAGAGUCCGGAAGAGGAGAGUGGAAUUCCUGGUGUAGCGGUGAAAUGCGCAGAUAUCAGGAAGAACACCCGUGGCUAAGGCGGCUCUCUAGUACGGUACUGACGCUGAGACGCGAAAGCGUGGGGAGCGAACAGG